AUCUAUCGCUGCCAAUCUAUUGCUGCUAAUCUAUCGCUGCUAAUCUAUCGCUGCUGCCAAUCUAUCUAUCGCUGCUAAUCUAUCGCCGCUGCCAAUCUAUCCCUCGCUGCUAAGCUAUCCCUCACUGCUAAGCUAUCACUGCCAAUCUAUCGCUGCUAAUCUAUCGCUGCCAACCUAUCUACCGCGGCGAAUCUAUCUAUCGCUGCCAAUUUAUCUACCACUGCCAAUCUAUCUAUCGCUGCCAAUCUAUUGCUGCUAAUCUAUCGCUGCUAAUCUAUCGCUGCUGCCAAUCUAUCUAUCGCUGCUAAUCUAUCGCCGCUGCCAAUCUAUCCCUCGCUGCUAAGCUAUCCCUCACUGCUAAGCUAUCACUGCCAAUCUAUCGCUGCUAAUCUAUCGCUGCCAACCUAUCUACCGCGGCGAAUCUAUCUAUCGCUGCCAAUUUAUCUACCACUGCCAAUCUAUCUAUCGCUGCCAAUCUAUCGCUGCUAAUCUAUCGCUGCUAAUCUAUCACUGCUAAUCUAUCGCUGCUAAUCUAUCGCUGCUAAUCUAUCGCUGCCAACCUAUCUACCGCGGCGAAUCUAUCUAUCACUAUCAUUACUAGUUCAAAAUAGAACUAGAGCAUAAACACACUAAACUUCUUUUGAUAGGUAAUGAUUUUUGGUAACGCUCAUAGCAUUAUAUCAUCUAUAUAGGGUAAAUCAUGGUCCCAUUUGGUCCCAUUUUAACAAAAUGGGACCAAAUGGGACCAGAAUCAGUAAUUUAUAAGAAGAACAUGACCUGGGACU
Molecule: small RNA, 785 nt
Filed under: Histoplasma ohiense
Lineage: Eukaryota; Fungi; Ascomycota; Eurotiomycetes; Onygenales; Ajellomycetaceae
Description: hypothetical lncRNA
Source: RNAcentral